AGGAAGGUUCUGGGCCAGCUGUUGGCGGGCGGGGUAGGGGCGCCACUAGAUGAUGCCCACUCCGCGGGCGCUGGCUCUAACCUCACCCUACUCACCUCAGAACCAUCCAGAGACAGACUUCUCUCCCCAUGGAGGGUUUUCAUGGGGUCCUCACACGUUUUCAGGGUGAUUGUGCGUCACCCUCCAGGUCCUCAUGACCUAACGAAUGUAGGUGGUACCUAACCCUCUAUACACGCGUGUCUGCACAAACACAACCUGGAGGAAAAUUUAUUUUUAUACUGGGUGGUGAUGAUAACUACAACUUUCUGGUUAUUACUAGAGUUAACUCCAGUGUCAAAUCCAACGACGUAGGUUUCCUCCAACAUAUUCACAGGGUUCCCAAAAUAAAAUUUCUUUUACAUUUUAAGCAAGACAUUUUCUGCCAAGAAGGAUAGGUUAGUCUAUUUUCAUGCCCCUAUUGUGUUGCUCAAAAUUCUCACGUGAAAGAUUAUAUUAUGUAACUGUUAAACUGGACGCAAAUUUCCAGCUGGGAAUAAUGUGUGCAAACUAUAACACUUUCAUAAUAAAAGUCUGCUCAAGAUAAUACUUUGGAGAACAGAGACCAUUCGUUUCUGUGAUUUUACUAUUGAAUGUACGUUGAGCCAACUGGAAUAACUUUUGUUUACAGUCUAGCUGUGAAAUACUGCAUAGGGGCUGACAGCACCCAAGGAGAGGAACACCAUUGGGAAAACACCUGCCUGCCUUACCCCUGAUCUGGAAGGACCCUGUGUUAAAUUUGGAGUCUAUUUUAAGUGAUGACUCACCUGACUUUAGGCGAAAAGUUGGAACCAGAAUUAAGAGGAACUGAGGGAGCCCAUGCUGCAAAAUAUUGUCUUCCAAAAAGGAGAGAGGAAAACAAUUCAUUCAUUUUUACAGGCUCACCGAGUGGAGGAAUCGCUGCUGCGCAAGAGGUGCUGGAGUGCUGGGCUGACUGAGCGAUUUAAGGCCCGAGGGAAGCGUGUGAAGAAGCACUGUUCCAGGGAGCCACUCAUCCAUCUUUCUUCUGGAUUUGUUGCUGGAGGCAACAUACCGAACACUGAGGCAAGGGGGAAUGAGCCAUUCUGAGUUGGAGACUUUUAAAACGAGACCCAAAUGAUGAAAAGAAGCCAUUCAUGGGAAACCCAAGAGGAUCAACACAGGCAGAGGUACUGCAAGUGCAAAGGCCCUACAAGUCAAAAGGCUUGACAUGUUGUAAAAAAACUGACAGAGGUCUGUGUGACUGAAGCAUCAGGACCAGCUGCUGUAGGAAGAAUGAAGUGAAGGGUUACAAAAAUGGAAACGUUUAUGAUCAGUUAUGGUAUUAUUGCAGAAGCCCAGGUGAAAGAUGAUAGUAGCUUGGGUAGGGUGGUGGCAAUUAAGGUAGAGAAACAUGUUCAGAUUCAGGAUAUAUUUUAGAGGUAGAACCAGCAGUUCAUAGGCAUCAAUGCUUCUGGUUGUAAUAACUGAAAGACUGGUAACCUAUUUAUUAGGAUGAGGAAGUCUGGAGUAUUAUAGGAUAUAUGGGAAAAGAAAAAAUUCCCCCUUAAACAUAUUAAAUUUGAAAUGACUGAGUAAUCUAGGCAGUUAAUCAUACAACUGGAGUUCAGAGAAGAAAGCUGAGGACCAAUAAAAUCAGGGUCUAAAACAAAUAAAUAGCACUUAGAAUCAUGAAAAUGGAUGAGUUCACCUAGAGAAAGUAUGGAUAGAGAAGAAAAGAAGAAAGGGCUCCGGAAGGAUUCCAAGGAACUCGAGUGCUGAGAGGUGGGGUAGAGGGUAUUAGGCAGAAUAGAUCAAGGAGGAGCUACCAUUGGAAUGUGAGCAAUGUCAGCAGACUGUGCUGUCCUGACCUGGGUGGAGAUUCCAAGGUAGGAAAAGCUGAGUUGAAAACUGUUCAGGAACCAAGCAUAAUGAGAACAGAAAAUUACCCAUCUGGCCCUAUGGAGGUCUCUGGUAAACUUAACAAGGGUGUUCAGUUGAGUUGAAGGAACAAAAGCGAGAGUAGACCCUAUAACCCAGAAAUUUCACUUCUCAGUUAUUGGAAACAAGAAACUCUUGCAUGAGUGCACCAAGAGACUCAUACACAAGAUGGUUAUAACUGGUUUGUUGCUGGAGCAAACUACUGGGAAUGACCCAAACUUGCAUCCUUAGGAGAAUAGAUAAAUUGUGCUAUAUUCAUAGAAUGGAAUAGUAUAGAGUAAUGAAAGUGACUGCUUUAACAUGGGUAAAUCUCACAAACUUAAUGUUGACCAAACAAACUCCCGAAAGACUCAAAACAUCUGCAGUAUAAUUCCAUUUAUAUAAAGUUUCAAAAAUGAAGAACUAAAUAAUACCUUGUUUAAAGAUACAUAUAAAAGGAAAUGAUAACACAAAAUUCAGAAAUCCUGUUACAUAGGACAUAUAGGGAUGCUCAAAGAUUAUAUAUGUGUUAUAUAUACACUUUGGUGGCCUAAAGAUAGCUACCUAGCUUUGUCCACUCUAUAGGCCUAAAUGCAUUUAUCAAGCCAGUAGCAAUGAGCGCUGCUAGCACCCAUACUGUGAUCUCCAAAUAGUAUCUCGUACUAAAAGUAACAAGCACACUUUGGGAGAAGAACUGAUUUCGGGUAUAGGACAGGGAAUGUACAGGACAGGCUUGAAAAUCUUGUCUUAGACUGCAAGGAAUGUUUUGAGAUUGCUAAGGUUGUGUCAGAAGAACGCAGAAGCCUAUCUGAAGAGGCUCCCACUGACAAAGAUAGGAAAGUUUAGGCAUCCAUAAGGAUAAAUACUGCAAUGGAUUGAAAAGCACAUCAAAUAUAUAUGUUUACCUACUUUUCUUAUGUAAACUACUACUGUUGGUUACCUAAAUGGUAAAUA
This is a long non-coding RNA of Lagenorhynchus albirostris (white-beaked dolphin), 2868 nucleotides long. RefSeq lists it as uncharacterized. The transcript has 4 exons. The record is from RefSeq and is a predicted model, not a curated record. Lineage: Eukaryota; Metazoa; Chordata; Mammalia; Artiodactyla; Delphinidae.